This 119-nucleotide ribosomal RNA is filed under the name Olea europaea subsp. europaea. Lineage: Eukaryota; Viridiplantae; Streptophyta; Magnoliopsida; Lamiales; Oleaceae. The record is from RNAcentral.
GGGUGCGACCAUACCAGCACUAACGCACCGGAUCCCAUCAGAACUCUGAAGUUAAGCGUGCUUGGACGAGAGUAGUACUAGGAUGGGUGACCCCCUGGGAAGCCCUCGUGUUGCACCCC